AAAGAGUCUUGGUUUUCAGAAAUGAGACCGACCCUUCAACCCUUUGUAUUACCAUUCUCUCGUUGCCUCGGGGGAACGCAUCUCGUCGAAAGAUGAGAGGCCCCCGGUGGACAUUACCAAACUCGUUUUUACCAUACAGUCAGAGUAAUUGAUUAAACAAUCAAAAACA
This 169-nucleotide unclassified non-coding RNA is filed under the name uncultured Diatractium. RNAcentral describes it as "sequence contains ITS1". Lineage: Eukaryota; Fungi; Ascomycota; Sordariomycetes; Diaporthales. The record is from RNAcentral.